This 465-nucleotide ribosomal RNA is filed under the name uncultured Klebsiella sp. RNAcentral's name for it is "bacterial SSU rRNA". It matches the Rfam family "Bacterial small subunit ribosomal RNA", at positions 338 to 795 of the family's 1533-position model. The record is from RNAcentral. Lineage: Bacteria; Pseudomonadati; Pseudomonadota; Gammaproteobacteria; Enterobacterales; Enterobacteriaceae.
CCUACGGGUGGCUGCAGUGGGGAAUAUUGCACAAUGGGCGCAAGCCUGAUGCAGCCAUGCCGCGUGUGUGAAGAAGGCCUUCGGGUUGUAAAGCACUUUCAGCGGGGAGGAAGGCGGUGAGGUUAAUAACCUCAUCGAUUGACGUUACCCGCAGAAGAAGCACCGGCUAACUCCGUGCCAGCAGCCGCGGUAAUACGGAGGGUGCAAGCGUUAAUCGGAAUUACUGGGCGUAAAGCGCACGCAGGCGGUCUGUCAAGUCGGGUGUGAAAUCCCCGGGCUCAACCUGGGAACUGCAUUCGAAACUGGCAGGCUAGAGUCUUGUAGAGGGGGGUAGAAUUCCAGGUGUAGCGGUGAAAUGCGUAGAGAUCUGGAGGAAUACCGGUGGCGAAGGCGGCCCCCUGGACAAAGACUGACGCUCAGGUGCGAAAGCGUGGGGAGCAAACAGGAUUAGAUACCCCUGUAGUC